Long non-coding RNA from Macaca mulatta (Rhesus monkey), 2561 nucleotides. Lineage: Eukaryota; Metazoa; Chordata; Mammalia; Primates; Cercopithecidae. The record is from Ensembl.
AGAAAUUAUCACUUACAUUCAUAAAUCUAGUAUUAAGUCAGGGAAUUAGGAUACAAGCCCACCUCUUUCCGAACUCUAAUUUCCAAAUUUUUAAGCCAUUUCUUAUAAAUGACUUCAAUUAUACCAGUUCUGACCCUCCUCAUUCCUAGACCUUAGGUUUGUUCCUCACCCCGCUUUCCAUAGGCACAGGAGUCGUGCUUUAUGAAUGAGAGAUCCGUUAUAUUUUCAGUUGCUGACUCUGAGUACAGAGUAAACCGGAACUUCUCCCCGACCCCUGUCAUUCAUUCAAGGAACAGAAGAUGUUUUCGAUCAAAUAUUUAUUCUACUAAGUCAACUGAAUUUUUAGAGUACCAAUUUCUUCAGAUUCAAGGUUAGUGUUAAAAAUUUAAUUCUUACACAUAUUUGUCUCUGACAUUUUCAAAUAAGAUUAGAAAUAUAUGUGUAAACAGAUUUUUUGCAGACAUUGACCAACAGUUAUGUGACACAUUUCAACAGAAUAUGAGUUUUCGACAUUCACUUCCACCACGUGUUGAAAAGGCACUCAUAAAUUUAAAAAACAUUGUGAAUUAUUAUUUUGCUAAUAUGUAUCCAAGGAUAAAUUCAUAGUUCUGGAUGAGAAAGGGGAUGAUAUUACUUGUAGAUACAUCUCCUUAAAAAGUCUGAUGAAUUUAAUAGUUUUAUAAUUCAUUUUUGAUAAUUCAGAGGUUCACAUAGCACUGCUAUAUUUUUUUGUCUUCACCAUUGUCUACCUGUUUUACCCACUUCGUUGAUCAGUAAUAUCUUAAAUAUUACACAAGAGGAAAAUUUAAAGCAUGUACAUAGUGAAAGUCAAUGUAAUAAUUCUAAAAUCGUUUUUAUGAAAGUUUGUUGAGAAAAAAUAAGACAAACUGACUUGUAAAGAAAAACAAUAUUAUUAUUUAUAUAUUUAAAUUUCAAAUUCUAUUUUGUUAUUAUAUAGUUAAAAUGAAAUUAAGACACUAAUUCUAUAUUUUAUUCUGCACUAAUUUUCACUCAACUCUCAUAAUGUAACAGCAUAAAAGUGAAACUCAAUAGCUGCUAUUAAUUCUUUUAAUUAGGCAUUAUGGCAUUCUAUGCUUUAAUCCUAUUUGUUUUAUACAGUAAUGUCUUGGACUAAAUCACAUAAAAUGUACUUUUCUGGUUAUCCUCCUCCAAAUAAACACUGAUCCCCUAAUUAGUUAAUUAAAGAAUGAAUUAUGUUAUGGAUUAUUUAUUAAUGAGUCAAAGUUACUUUGGCUAAUUGUGUAAAUACAGGUAAAGUUGGUAAUCUGUCUCAUUUCUCUCAUCUCUAACAUUGGAAACAUGACAGAACCUGCUACUCUUGACUUUGUAAGUAUUCAAUCUGCUAAUCUAGUUAAUGUGUAUCCACAGUAACCAGGUAAUACAUAGUAGGUGUGGUUAUAAGGUAACUAUUGUCAUAGCAAAUGUAUGAACAUAAGACUGCUAUCUCUGGCAUGUCUCUGUAAUGAUCCAUUACUGAGAGUCCACCUAGUUUAUUUCACCAGAGACAAAAGUACGUAUACUUUUUAAAAUAUUCUGAAACAUACUGUUUUUGUUUUCUUUCCUGCAACUUACCCUGGUAUUAAUUUAUUCUGAGCCAUAAUUAUGCAACCUUAACUUGACUAUAAUUAAUAGCAAUAAUGUCUAGAUUUUGGCAGCAACUGAGGGUUUAUUCUCCAAAAUCAAUUUGCAGAACAUAUUUAUUCCUUCAGUUUGCAUAGAUGAUAGCCCAAACAUGAAGUUUCUCUCAGCUAGUAAUUUAGCACAGGCAGGAAGAAGCAAAUAGAUAUCAUGGUUUGAAUGCCAUAAUAUUAUUUGUUCCUUCUCAAUUAUGUUUCUGCAACAGAAAGAUUUUUUAACAAAUUACAUAAAUAGAACUUUAAAAAGUUUGAAACAUCUGUAUUUUCACCUGAACAGAAGAUAGUUGCACUCCUGCUGAAGGUGUGGUUUUUAAAAACUAUUUGUAAUUAUGUAAUAAAUAUGGGACAUUCAUCAUACUCUUUGAAUGUAAAAUUAGAUGUCUGUGUUAGGCAUGUUGAUCAAGCACCAUUUAGUGUAUCAUGAGAUUUACAGGAAAAUUCAUGGAAAAACUGAGAAGCCUUUAAGUCAGAGACAUGAUGAUAUGUUCAGUAUAUUAAAUAAGUACUGAAUUAAGGAAUAAAACCAGGUGAGCUAAGUGAAUGACAGCUACCCCAAAUACAGUUAAUUUUUCCACUUGCAUUUCUUGCAAAGUUAUUAAUUUAUUCAUUCACUUAUAAAACAUUUACUCAACUUUUGUUGGGAGCUAGGCCUAGACUAGGAACAACAACAACAACAAGAAAAGAGAAUAGUGAAAAAAAUAACAUCUUUCUGGGGAGUUUUAAAAGCAGCAGAUAAGAGAGAAAAUGAAUAAGAACACAAAGUCCUAUGAGAACCUGAGGGUGCCAUGGGAGGAUUUAAGGAGUAGAGUCUGCUUAAAUAGCAAUAGAAUCUGUGGGAUUAGGAGCAGGCCCUAGUUUUUCUGAAACUCACUUUGUUAGUCUGAAUGAGCUGACCAUUUGCAG